This is a long non-coding RNA of Xiphophorus couchianus (Monterrey platyfish), 1548 nucleotides long. RefSeq lists it as uncharacterized. The transcript is spliced from 3 exons. NCBI's taxonomy places the organism in Eukaryota, Metazoa, Chordata, Actinopteri, Cyprinodontiformes, Poeciliidae. The record is from RefSeq and is a predicted model, not a curated record.
UGUGGUCGCAGUAGGUCACGCUUCACCAGUAAUAUGAGCUACUGUGCAAAGCACCGGUGAAAGAUAAGUAGGCAAAAUGAUGUCUCAAAAAAGGACUAUAUCCUUCAGGGACAGAGAAAAGAUGGAGGAAGAGGAAGAAGAUAAAAAAGCCUAGAUAAAGAUAUGUCCAUUUCCAUACUCUGCAGAGUACCCCCAUCCUCUGUGCCCACUGUUUCCUCUGUCUGCGACUACUGCUGAUCUGCCUGAUGCCAUCUCCACCAAACUCCACUUCAUCCACCUGGGAAGAAAAGGACACCUGCAUCACAAUACUGCUCCUAGGUGUUGUUCAGCAUUCAAAACUCUCAAUACUGAGCAUCGAAUAAGAAAACGAUACCAACUUUGUGAUCAAUCCACUUCUCACACUGCUGACAGCAGUGGUCAGCUCCACCCACAUCCAACUUUGUUCAUCAUAAUACCUUGGCCUGGGUGUAGCAGGUUCUGUGGUGUACCCGCUACAGAGAACCAGUUGUGCAGCCUCAGUUAGAAGCAGUCUGAGAAGAAAAUGAGGAGCGUUCACAUGUUGGCUCAUACUCAACAUGUUCUACAUAAGGACUAGAGAGUUAAUUAUUUGCAGCUGCAUUGCAAUCUGGUUUGGGAAUUGUACUACAAGAGCCUACAGUGCAGAGUGAGGACAGGUAAAAAGACUAUUGGUGUUUCUCUGCCCUGUCUAGCUAAUCAACAUUUGCAUGACCCGCUGCACUUGUAGUAAUUUAGAAGUGUGAUGGCAGCCCACCCACCCAUUUCAUUGCUUCCUCUCCCUUCAGUCCUCUGAAAAAAAGUAUUGCAACAUGUAGGCUUUAAAUACCAAUAUGGGAAACAAUUUUUCUUCACAUAAGCCACCAGACUCCUGAAUGCACUCUCAAGUGCCUUCCCUAAGCUAAGUCUGUACUGUACAUACACACUAUCCUCAACUUAGUCUUUGUGUUAUAUUGUGUUGUUGGAAUGCAGAGAAGCCUCUCAUUUCUCCACAUACCAUUUAGGUGGUUGAAAUAAUUUCUAUUUCAAUUGAACUUACAAUAUUAAACAUGAAAUGUCUUUAUUUUAUUGUAUUGCUUUAAGUUAAGAUGUUUUUAGUAGUGUCUGUUUUCAACAGUGAAAGAGAAUUUACUUUUGUUUAUUGACCACUUUUAUGUGUAUUGUCAAUACACUUAAUUUAAUAUAAUUAAUAUAAUUGACAUUAAAUUAACUGUUGCUAAUAAUCUGCAACUAAUUAUUUCAUGAUAAUGAGAAAAAAAAACCCUAAACAUUAUUAAGUAACAAAGCAUAACCCACAUCAUUAAAGCCACUUCAAUAAAUGUGUCCUGCAGACACAUGUUUUGGGUUAGUGGAAGUUCUUGAUCUUUUUGACAGCAUUGGAGGAAAGUUGAUGUACAAUGUUCACUGUUCUUUGGUCUGCCCUUUUGACUCCUUUUUUCCUUCUCUAUGUGACCAGAUCACUGUCUAUAUCCGGGCCAGGAUCUUGAGUAGCGCACGCUUUCAUGUUCUAGAUAAUAAAUUACUCAUGAAAUA